AAAAUUUCAAGUGAUUUAGAUUUGUAGAAAAAAAUUAAAAUUUCAAUACAAAAUAAGAUCGUGACGAUCAGAUUCAAUCUAAGUCGUUAGGCUUUUAUAUAUAUAUAUAUAUAUACCCAUUCUAGGAUGUUUGAACUAAAAAAUUGGAGAAGUAAAAAGGGAAAAUAUCUCCAUACCUUUCAAUUUUUAAAUUUCAGUUCUCACUAUACUCAAAGUUUUAAAACAUAUUUUGAUGCAUGGAGAUGUCAUGUCUUAUUUUUUAUAAUCCUUUAUACUCACAUUACACAAUUAGGUUCUCUUUAUUUACCCUAAACAAAUUUUAAAAGACAUCUUUUUAUUACCCAAUUGUCCUUCCGUUUCUCUCUCUCCACGUGUUUCACAUACCCCACUCUCUUCAGUUUUUCUGGAUAAAUAACAUCUCUCUCUCUAAAAACGCACGAAUGUGGGCCAUGGAUUCUCUGUAACCCACCCUUAAAAAUAUUGCGAUACCUCAAUCGCUGAAUGCUCAUGGUGGAAUUUAAUCUUUUUUCUAUAUAAGGCCGUUGAUGCUCUGAAGAACCAUGUUUCUGCAAUUUCUUACGCCAGAGGUCCCUUCAUUUCAUCUCACUUUAUUGCUCUCUCUUUAGACUCUCUCUCUCUAGACUCUCUCUCUCUCUUGUUUUUUAGCUUUUGCAGGAUGGUGGUCAGACCAAUGAUCGUGGGUAUAGAGUUUAUGGAUUAG
RNAcentral lists this long non-coding RNA (721 nucleotides) under Amborella trichopoda. RNAcentral's name for it is "long non-coding RNA (ATRI_LNC001261)". The record is from RNAcentral. Lineage: Eukaryota; Viridiplantae; Streptophyta; Magnoliopsida; Amborellales; Amborellaceae.